GAGUGAACGCUGGCGGUAGGCCUAACACAUGCAAGUCGAACGGCAGCACAGUAAGAGCUUGCUCUUACGGGUGGCGAGUGGCGGACGGGUGAGGAAUACAUCGGAAUCUACUUUUUCGUGGGGGAUAACGUAGGGAAACUUACGCUAAUACCGCAUACGACCUACGGGUGAAAGCAGGGGAUCUUCGGACCUUGCGCGAUUGAAUGAGCCGAUGUCGGAUUAGCUAGUUGGCGGGGUAAAGGCCCACCAAGGCGACGAUCCGUAGCUGGUCUGAGAGGAUGAUCAGCCACACUGGAACUGAGACACGGUCCAGACUCCUACGGGAGGCAGCAGUGGGGAAUAUUGGACAAUGGGCGCAAGCCUGAUCCGGCCAUACCGCGUGGGUGAAGAAGGCCUUCGGGUUGUAAAGCCCUUUUGUUGGGAAAGAAAAGCAGCAGGUUAAUACCCCGCUGUUCUGACGGUACCCAAAGAAUAGGCACCGGCUAACUUCGUG
RNAcentral lists this ribosomal RNA (493 nucleotides) under uncultured bacterium. RNAcentral's name for it is "partial 16S ribosomal RNA". It matches the Rfam family "Bacterial small subunit ribosomal RNA", at positions 27 to 507 of the family's 1533-position model. The record is from RNAcentral.